ACGCUGGCGGCAGGCCUAACACAUGCAAGUCGAGCGGUAGAGAGAAGCUUGCUUCUCUUGAGAGCGGCGGACGGGUGAGUAAUGCCUAGGAAUCUGCCUGGUAGUGGGGGAUAACGUCCGGAAACGGACGCUAAUACCGCAUACGUCCUACGGGAGAAAGCAGGGGACCUUCGGGCCUUGCGCUAUCAGAUGAGCCUAGGUCGGAUUAGCUAGUUGGUGGGGUAAUGGCUCACCAAGGCGACGAUCCGUAACUGGUCUGAGAGGAUGAUCAGUCACACUGGAACUGAGACACGGUCCAGACUCCUACGGGAGGCAGCAGUGGGGAAUAUUGGACAAUGGGCGAAAGCCUGAUCCAGCCAUGCCGCGUGUGUGAAGAAGGUCUUCGGAUUGUAAAGCACUUUAAGUUGGGAGGAAGGGCAGUUACUUAAUACGUGAUUGUUUUGACGUUACCGACAGAAUAAGCACCGGCUAACUCUGUGCCAGCAGCCGCGGUAAUACAGAGGGUGCAAGCGUUAAUCGGAAUUACUGGGCGUAAAGCGCGCGUAGGUGGUUCAUUAAGUUGGAUGUGAAAUCCCCGGGCUCAACCUGGGAACUGCAUUCAAAACUGACGAGCUAGAGUAUGGUAGAGGGUGGUGGAAUUUCCUGUGUAGCGGUGAAAUGCGUAGAUAUAGGAAGGAACACCAGUGGCGAAGGCGACCACCUGGACUGAUACUGACACUGAGGUGCGAAAGCGUGGGGAGCAAAC
This 745-nucleotide ribosomal RNA is filed under the name uncultured bacterium. RNAcentral's name for it is "bacterial SSU rRNA". It matches the Rfam family "Bacterial small subunit ribosomal RNA", at positions 33 to 773 of the family's 1533-position model. The record is from RNAcentral.